This 466-nucleotide ribosomal RNA is filed under the name uncultured bacterium. RNAcentral describes it as "partial 16S ribosomal RNA". It matches the Rfam family "Bacterial small subunit ribosomal RNA", at positions 28 to 523 of the family's 1533-position model. The record is from RNAcentral.
GAUGAACGCUGGCGGCGUGCCUAACACAUGCAAGUCGAGCGAUCUCUUCGGAGAGAGCGGCGGACGGGUGGGUAACGCGCGGGUAACCUGCCCUGUACACACGGAUAACAUACCGAAAGGUAUGCUAAUACGGGAUAAUAUAUAAAAGUCGCAUGGCUUUUAUAUCAAAGCUUUUGAGGUACAGGAUGGACCCGCGUCUGAUUAGCUAGUUGGUAAGGUAACGGCUUACCAAGGCGACGAUCAGUAGCCGACCUGAGAGGGUGAUCGGCCACACUGGAACUGAGACACGGUCCAGACUCCUACGGGAGGCAGCAGUGGGGAAUAUUGCACAAUGGGCGAAAGCCUGAUGCAGCAACGCCGCGUGAGCGAUGAAGGCCUUCGGGUCGUAAAGCUCUGUCCUCAAGGAAGAUUAUGACGGUACUUGAGGAGGAAGCCCCGGCUAACUACGUGCCAGCAGCCGCCGCUG